Molecule: long non-coding RNA, 2853 nt
Organism: Bombus huntii
Lineage: Eukaryota; Metazoa; Arthropoda; Insecta; Hymenoptera; Apidae
Exons: 2
Source: RefSeq, a predicted model, not a curated record
CAAAUUCCUCAAAAUGACGAAUUCUAGGUCUUGUAUUUCUACAAUUCGUAAAAUUAAUGCUGUAUUUCUUUUUCUUCUUUUUUUUUCUUUGAAAGGAACAAUAUAAUUUAUAUGAGGAACAUUCGGAGAAAAGAGACCAUAAAAGAGAACAGUGAAUUGAGUAAAUUGAGUAUUUGGAGAACCUUUAUCUCCAAUCUUUUAAUAUUUAUCACGGUUUUAGUUGAUAAUUAUAAUUGAAGGUAGAGAAUUGUAUCGUUAUACAUGUAAUAAUUAUCAAAUAGAUGAUGAUUUUAUGGUAAUUCAACUAAAUUGUAAUAGAAACCGAUGGUGGUCGUGGUUGGCGGUAUUGUGAUGUUGAUAAUGGAUGAUUGUAAAUAAUACUUGCUUAAAAAAAUUCACCAUGCAUAGAAGUACCUUACGAUAUUAUUAGUUCAGUAAUGAAGCAAUUUCUAAUUUCAGCUAGUACUUUUGAAGUACCUUUGAAUGGAACGUUUAAGAAACAGUGUUCUCACAGUACUUAAAAUUACCGUGAUUUUACACGACCUUAACUGCUAGCUAAACCACAAUAAUUCUAAUAAGAACAUACGGAACAUAUAUUAGAAACAGAGGAAAACCUUAAAACAGCCAAUCGAAACGAGAUCGCACAAUUCCAGAUCAGUUGGGUGAAUAAAAAUGGUAAGAAUCAGGCAAGCAAGACUCGGAUAUUUCCGCGGAAAUGAACGUCUAUAGCCGGAUAUCGAGAAAUUCAUCUCUCGGAUCCUCGUUUCCUCUUCGAGGCUCGAGCAACCUGAAAUCGACGAGUCCGACAAUCAGAUUACUCGUGGCCGACCAAAGUUCAAGAUUCCAGCGCGGCCUGCACGGUAUAGGCGCAGAGGCGCGUGAAAUUUGUGUCUGCGUCAGGCACGAUCGCGCGUCCCGCCGCCGCGUUCCUGUCAAUAACAGUUUCCACGAACGCAUAAUCGCAAUAUUCUCCGAAAGAUCCUAAACUUAGAUAGACGAAACAAGGUUCAGCAGGUAGAGGGAUCUAAACGGACGUAAGUAAUGCACGGCGGAGAGGCCGGAGUAAGAAAAAGAGAGAACGAGAGUGUGCAGACGAUAUAAAGGAACAAAUGAGUUUCGUGAUCGUACCAGAGCCCGAUCUUGUCUUGGGUUAAUCGAGCAACGCCGUAGAAAACGAGCAGAACAAGCUCGGGUUCCUGGCAGGGUGAGUCCGAGCACAGCCGACGAUGAGAGAGGAGAGAAUGACGAGGGUGAAUAAUGUUUCGCGUCCAAUUCGAACGGUCAGAGACAAACUUUUGCAUUGUGCAACGCAUAAUAUACAGAACGGGAUAUCCUCUGUUCUCCUCGUCGCCCUUUAUCGCUGGCAAACUUUGCCCUUUCUCUCGUUUCUUGCACCCUGAAAGCGCGCGCCCGCGCGCCGUGGUCUUUUCAAUCUCGAUGAGAUUAAGUUGUACCCGUGGCAGUCUAUCGCACGGCUACGCCGUAGCAUUGUUUACGAGGAGGUAAGAGGCCACGAAUCGUGCUCGUGCCAGCUAGCGAGGAUAUAUUUAUUCGUACGUUAAAAUGUCGGCCUCGAGACGAUCAAGAAGUUUCCUUGAAGCCAGCAGGCGGUUAGACGCGAGUCGCGUUUAAGGGUUCCGCUGGUAGCGCGAACCGAUUCGACGCCGAUAAUAAUUUGCAUUCGCCGAUAGCGAACUAGGACACGGUACAGGUGCAGUAACAAAGGGAAGAAAGUCGGACAGAUAUGUACGUUAGCGCGUGGUAAAUCAUCUUCGACGGUUAGCGCGGAUUAUAAUUAGAAGAGCCGCGGAUUCGAAACAAUACGUACGAAAGCGUAGGAAUAAUUAAUACUCUGAAAGUGGACGUGUUUCCUCGGUUUCGCGAUCGAACGCAGCAGGUUCGACGAUCGGCCUCUAUGAGAAGGCUUAUCUAAACUUUAUCGGGCGUACUGGCGAUACGAAUAAUUCACGUUUGACAUUUCAGCGAGCGAGGGAGCGAGCAAACGGGGCCGUAUUCUAACCGUGGCCGCUUGAAAACGCUUAUUUACAUUCUAUUUUUCAGCAAUAGACCCUGACGUAGUAAAACGAUGCAUUAUCGAGGCCUGUACUUUAAGUACGUUUACCUCGCCGCACGGGAUGUAGGUUGCCUUUUAGAUCGGCCGACCUCUUUUCUCUAUGGCCAUUUUUACGGAAACGAAAUUCACAGAGUGGGCAGAGCCGAUUCCUAGCCUCAGAAGUUCAUCCACCGUGUAGCCGAGGUGCUAUUGUUCCAGAACCAGCCAAAGGAGACGAGACGAGAAGCGCAGGAGAAGGAGGAAGAAGAAGUUAGCGAACGAGGUGGAGGAGGAUGCUAUCGAGAAAGAGGUGUAUCUAAGUACACGUACACGUGUACACAUGGAAGAAAAGUAGGCCUUUACUGCGGAGUUCAAACGAUUCUUACGCAUCACCAGCGCGCACGCGUACACGUUAAUUUCAAUCGGCGGCGCGCAAACUUUUCGUUACAGUCUAUUUCGCAAGCCCGCCGCCAACUAAAGGUCAUCGACGCUCCGGCGAUUCCUGAUAAUUAUUCACGCUAAGAUUGUUAUCGUUUCGUGGGCCACUCUGGAGAAGUCACUCGCAGGAUACGUUUCUCGCCAUCUUCUUUUUCGCGAGCCGCCUUUUUAUUCAAUAGGUAAAAUUGGUAGAUAAAAUAGUAGUCGAAUACACUUCCUUCUUGGAACUCAGGCAUACGGUAAGUUCGAAGUGGAAAGGGAAGUUUGUCAUUUUUUGUGUUGUAUUGUGUUUUUUAUAAUAGCCAGUGUACAAACGCAUAAGCAAUAGGAAAUAAAAAGAAAAAGCAAGGAGGAAAAUUGUA